AACAAGGUUUCCGUAGGUGGACCUGCGGAAGGAUCAUU
This 38-nucleotide ribosomal RNA is filed under the name Andesanthus silvestris. Its description in RNAcentral is "Tibouchina silvestris partial 18S ribosomal RNA". The record is from RNAcentral. Lineage: Eukaryota; Viridiplantae; Streptophyta; Magnoliopsida; Myrtales; Melastomataceae.